Peromyscus maniculatus bairdii (prairie deer mouse) is the source of this 103-nucleotide small nuclear RNA. Lineage: Eukaryota; Metazoa; Chordata; Mammalia; Rodentia; Cricetidae. The record is from Ensembl.
GUGCUCACCUCGGCAGCACACACACUAAAGUUGGGACGGUACAGAGAUGAGCGUGGCCCUGCACCAGGAUGACACACAGAUGCAGGAGCAUUAUGAGAGGGAU